Molecule: non-coding RNA, 45 nt
Organism: Schistosoma mansoni
Lineage: Eukaryota; Metazoa; Platyhelminthes; Trematoda; Strigeidida; Schistosomatidae
Source: Rfam
AUCCCGCUGACGAGUCCCGAAUAGAAUGGAACGCGCGUCUUGGAU